RNAcentral lists this transfer RNA (63 nucleotides) under Eutypa lata UCREL1. RNAcentral's name for it is "tRNA-Ser (AGA) (tRNA-Ser-AGA-3-1)". It matches the Rfam family "tRNA". From Rfam's summary of the family: Transfer RNA (tRNA) molecules are approximately 80 nucleotides in length. Their secondary structure includes four short double-helical elements and three loops (D, anti-codon, and T loops). Further hydrogen bonds mediate the characteristic L-shaped molecular structure. tRNAs have two regions of fundamental functional importance: the anti-codon, which is responsible for specific mRNA codon recognition, and the 3' end, to which the tRNAs corresponding amino acid is attached (by aminoacyl-tRNA synthetases). tRNAs cope with the degeneracy of the genetic code in two manners: having more than one tRNA (with a specific anti-codon) for a particular amino acid; and 'wobble' base-pairing, i.e. permitting non-standard base-pairing at the 3rd anti-codon position. Lineage: Eukaryota; Fungi; Ascomycota; Sordariomycetes; Xylariales; Diatrypaceae. The record is from RNAcentral.
GCCAGGUUGGUGUAGUGGUAACACAUCAAGAAGAAGACCCAGGUUCGAAUCCUGGACCAGGCA